RNAcentral lists this small nuclear RNA (196 nucleotides) under Jatropha curcas. RNAcentral describes it as "U2 spliceosomal RNA". It matches the Rfam family "U2 spliceosomal RNA". From Rfam's summary of the family: U2 is a small nuclear RNA (snRNA) component of the spliceosome (involved in pre-mRNA splicing). Complementary binding between U2 snRNA (in an area lying towards the 5' end but 3' to hairpin I) and the branchpoint sequence (BPS) of the intron results the bulging out of an unpaired adenosine, on the BPS, which initiates a nucleophilic attack at the intronic 5' splice site, thus starting the first of two transesterification reactions that mediate splicing. The record is from Rfam by way of RNAcentral. Lineage: Eukaryota; Viridiplantae; Streptophyta; Magnoliopsida; Malpighiales; Euphorbiaceae.
AUACCUUUCUCGGCCUUUUGGCUAAGAUCAAGUGUAGUAUCUGUUCUUAUCAGUUUAAUAUCUGAUACGGGGAUCAUUGAUCCACAUGAUAUUAAAUUAAUUUUUUUCGGGGGAGGGUCCACCACAGUAGCUUGCUACUGGGGCUCUCAAGCGUCGCCCAUGCGUUGCACUGCUGCACGGGCCUGGCGCACCCCAC